AUUGAACGCUGGCGGCAGGCCUAACACAUGCAAGUCGAACGGUAACAGGAAGCAGCUUGCUGCUUCGCUGACGAGUGGCGGACGGGUGAGUAAUGUCUGGGAAACUGCCUGAUGGAGGGGGAUAACUACUGGAAACGGUAGCUAGUACCGCAUAACGUCGCAAGACCAAAGAGGGGGACCUUAGGGCCUCUUGCCAUCGGAUGUGCCCAGAUGGGAUUAGCUAGUAGGUGGGGUAACGGCUCACCUAGGCGACGAUCCCUAGCUGGUCUGAGAGGAUGACCAGCCACACUGGAACUGAGACACGGUCCAGACUCCUACGGGAGGCAGCAGUGGGGAAUAUUGCACAAUGGGCGCAAGCCUGAUGCAGCCAUGCCGCGUGUAUGAAGAAGGCCUUCGGGUUGUAAAGUACUUUCAGCGGGGAGGAAGGGAGUAAAGUUAAUACCUUUGCUUAUUGACGUUACCCGCAGAAGAAGCACCGGCUAACUCCGUG
RNAcentral lists this ribosomal RNA (490 nucleotides) under uncultured bacterium. RNAcentral's name for it is "partial 16S ribosomal RNA". It matches the Rfam family "Bacterial small subunit ribosomal RNA", at positions 30 to 507 of the family's 1533-position model. The record is from RNAcentral.